RNAcentral lists this transfer RNA (95 nucleotides) under Duganella sp. HH101. RNAcentral's name for it is "tRNA-Pro". The record is from RNAcentral. Lineage: Bacteria; Pseudomonadati; Pseudomonadota; Betaproteobacteria; Burkholderiales; Oxalobacteraceae.
GGCGCUGCUGCCGGACGGCUGGAGCUGGGUCAGCCCGGCGCUGAUACAGGGCGUCGGCAUCGCCGCCCUGUACCUGAUGAUGCUGGUCAGCGCCU